UAUUCAAUUCAGGGCUAUGGAUAUAGAAGAAGCUCAAGAGCACACAACACAUUCACCAACUUACCUUUACAGAUGACCCUGAUCUUGAGAAUACUUUGAUCUACAAUCUUUCCAAGUCAUGAAAAUAAUGGGGGUUUUGGGCUUUGAAAAUGGAGGUAACUUAUUGGAGAAGUGGUUACAGGAAUGUUUUGUUCAAAUUCAUUUGCAAGCCUAUAGUGGGAAAGGGAAAGGUUAUGAAUCGAUGUCAGAUGCCCCCAUCUACUAAAGAUGAAGAGUUAGUUCUAGUAAGUUUUAUUGUUAUUACUGUUAAUUUGUUAUUAAUAGAAAUUGUGUUUUUAAUGGUCAA
This is a long non-coding RNA of Glycine soja, 346 nucleotides long. RefSeq lists it as uncharacterized. The transcript has 2 exons. Lineage: Eukaryota; Viridiplantae; Streptophyta; Magnoliopsida; Fabales; Fabaceae. The record is from RefSeq and is a predicted model, not a curated record.